CUCUCUCUCUCUCUCUCUCUCUCCUGUUUUACAUAUACGGUGUAAAAUACACAUGUAACACAAAAGCUAAAUUAUUUCACCACAAACAGACGCCUCCUGUUAAAAAAAAAAAAAAGCAGACGCCUCCACUACACCUACCGUCACUCUCUCCUAUUAUUGUCUAGAAUUCUCCAUUCCCCACAUUAGCCCAUUUCAUCUCUCUUCUCUCUCUCUCUCUCUCUGUUUUGUUGCCUGAUUUCAAGUUCUCCACUCUUGUGUACAGUUAAUUGCUCGUCUUUUUAGCCAUAAUCUUUGUAUAAUCAUGGCUGUUUUAGUGUAUUUGGUGCUUUUACUGGCACUUGCUGGCCAUUCAAGUGCUGCUACUUACUGCUUAUGUAAGGAUGGGUUAAGUGAUGCAGCACUGCAAAAAUCCCU
Molecule: unclassified non-coding RNA, 414 nt
Filed under: Hevea brasiliensis (rubber tree)
Lineage: Eukaryota; Viridiplantae; Streptophyta; Magnoliopsida; Malpighiales; Euphorbiaceae
Source: RNAcentral